Molecule: long non-coding RNA, 333 nt
Filed under: Oryza sativa (Asian cultivated rice)
Lineage: Eukaryota; Viridiplantae; Streptophyta; Magnoliopsida; Poales; Poaceae
Description: long non-coding RNA (OSAT_LNC000692)
Source: RNAcentral
AAUGGAUUACCAUUGUGACACUGUUGCUAUGCAACUUUCAACCAUACUUUGUAUCCAGAGAGGAGCAUCCGUGGUGCUGAGGUUGGUCAGGUUGCACAGACGAAGAUGGUGGUGGCAUGCCAUUGCCGGGCGCUCAUGGAACCUGUGGGGCAUGUGGCAUGCCAUUGCCGGGCGCUCAUGGAACCUGUGGGGCAAACAUGCCCCAUCAAGCCACUAGCUAGUGUCAUGCUUGCUACCCAACCAUUGCAAUAUGGUGUUGGCUAUAAUUCUUCUUGUCACAUCCCACAAGUUUGGAUGAUAAAUAAAACUUGGGAAAUGAUGUACGAACUAAAA